This 206-nucleotide ribosomal RNA is filed under the name uncultured bacterium. RNAcentral describes it as "partial 16S ribosomal RNA". It matches the Rfam family "Bacterial small subunit ribosomal RNA", at positions 568 to 774 of the family's 1533-position model. The record is from RNAcentral.
AGCGUAGACGGUGUGGCAAGUCUGAUGUGAAAGGCAUGGGCUCAACCUGUGGACUGCAUUGGAAACUGUCAUACUUGAGUGCUGGAGGGGUAAGCGGAAUUCCUAGUGUAGCGGUGAAAUGCGUAGAUAUUAGGAGGAACACCAGUGGCGAAGGCGGCUUACUGGACGGUAACUGACGUUGAGGCUCGAAAGCGUGGGAGCAAACA